This 73-nucleotide transfer RNA is filed under the name Streptococcus thermophilus. It matches the Rfam family "tRNA". Rfam says of the family: Transfer RNA (tRNA) molecules are approximately 80 nucleotides in length. Their secondary structure includes four short double-helical elements and three loops (D, anti-codon, and T loops). Further hydrogen bonds mediate the characteristic L-shaped molecular structure. tRNAs have two regions of fundamental functional importance: the anti-codon, which is responsible for specific mRNA codon recognition, and the 3' end, to which the tRNAs corresponding amino acid is attached (by aminoacyl-tRNA synthetases). tRNAs cope with the degeneracy of the genetic code in two manners: having more than one tRNA (with a specific anti-codon) for a particular amino acid; and 'wobble' base-pairing, i.e. permitting non-standard base-pairing at the 3rd anti-codon position. The record is from RNAcentral. RNAcentral also lists the same sequence under 2 other names. Lineage: Bacteria; Bacillati; Bacillota; Bacilli; Lactobacillales; Streptococcaceae.
AGUACUUUAGUGUAGUAGGUCGCACGACAGACUCAUGAUCUGUAAGACUAGGUUCGAUUCCUGGAAUGUACUC